RNAcentral lists this ribosomal RNA (486 nucleotides) under uncultured bacterium. RNAcentral describes it as "bacterial SSU rRNA". It matches the Rfam family "Bacterial small subunit ribosomal RNA", at positions 30 to 507 of the family's 1533-position model. The record is from RNAcentral.
AUUGAACGCUGGCGGCAUGCUUUACACAUGCAAGUCGAACGGCAGCACGGGCUUCGGCCUGGUGGCGAGUGGCGAACGGGUGAGUAAUGCAUCGGAACGUGCCCAUGUUGUGGGGGAUAACUACGCGAAAGCGUGGCUAAUACCGCAUACGCCCUGAGGGGGAAACGGGGGAUUCUUCGGAACCUCGCGCAAUUGGAGCGGCCGAUGUCAGAUUAGCUUGUUGGUGAGGUAAAGGCUCACCAAGGCGACGAUCUGUAGCGGGUCUGAGAGGAUGAUCCGCCACACUGGGACUGAGACACGGCCCAGACUCCUACGGGAGGCAGCAGUGGGGAAUUUUGGACAAUGGGGGCAACCCUGAUCCAGCCAUGCCGCGUGAGUGAAGAAGGCCUUCGGGUUGUAAAGCUCUUUCAGCCGGGAAGAAAACGCACGCUCUAACAUAGCGUGUGGAUGACGGUACCGGACCAAGAAGCACCGGCUAACUACGUG